This 484-nucleotide ribosomal RNA is filed under the name uncultured bacterium. RNAcentral's name for it is "partial 16S ribosomal RNA". It matches the Rfam family "Bacterial small subunit ribosomal RNA", at positions 28 to 523 of the family's 1533-position model. The record is from RNAcentral.
GACGAACGCUGGCGGCGUGCUUAACACAUGCAAGUCGAAUGAUGAACCCGGAGCUUGCUCCGGUGGAUUAGUGGCGAACGGGUGAGUAACACGUGAGUAACCUGCCCUUGACUCUGGGAUAACUGCGGGAAACUGUAGCUAAUACCGGAUACGACCCUCGGCGGCAUCGCCAGGGGGUGGAAAGAAUUUCGGUCAAGGAUGGACUCGCGGCCUAUCAGCUAGUUGGUGAGGUAACGGCUCACCAAGGCGACGACGGGUAGCCGGCCUGAGAGGGUGCCCGGCCACACUGGGACUGAGACACGGCCCAGACUCCUACGGGAGGCAGCAGUGGGGAAUAUUGCACAAUGGGCGCAAGCCUGAUGCAGCAACGCCGCGUGAGGGAUGACGGCCUUCGGGUUGUAAACCUCUUUUAGUAGGGAAGAAGCGAAAGUGACGGUACCUGCAGAAAAAGCACCGGCUAACUACGUGCCAGCAGCCGCCGUAA